This is a non-coding RNA of Extremus antarcticus, 90 nucleotides long. NCBI's taxonomy places the organism in Eukaryota, Fungi, Ascomycota, Dothideomycetes, Mycosphaerellales, Extremaceae. The record is from the annotation of a GenBank genome assembly.
GGACAGGCGCAGUGGUAACGCGUCGCACUUGUACGCCAACCACUGGAUCAAUCAAUGCGAAGAUCUCUGGUUCAAUUCCAGAUGGAGGCA